UCUCCAUCUUGCAGAAAACAGUAACAUACUGUGAAAGAAAAGUGCAGGAAAACUGUAAACUCCAGCCCAUCAGUCACAGGAUAAUCUGCUCAGCUCACUGCAUAGAUACCUGGAGAUGCCUGACGUCCUCCACAGUGUCCACAGAGGGCGCAAUCGAAACAACUGAUACCCGCCAGGAGGAUUGGAGGAAUGGUUUGGCUGAGGAAGACUGAUGUGAUUUUACAGCUAACACCCACCCCACAGUAACAGCGACCAGUCAGACCAUCUCUACACAGCAG
Molecule: long non-coding RNA, 278 nt
Organism: Fundulus heteroclitus (mummichog)
Lineage: Eukaryota; Metazoa; Chordata; Actinopteri; Cyprinodontiformes; Fundulidae
Exons: 3
Source: RefSeq, a predicted model, not a curated record